GAUGAACGCUGGCGGCGUGCCUAAUACAUGCAAGUCGAGCGAACAGACGAGGAGCUUGCUCCUCUGACGUUAGCGGCGGACGGGUGAGUAACACGUGGAUAACCUACCUAUAAGACUGGGAUAACUUCGGGAAACCGGAGCUAAUACCGGAUAAUAUAUUGAACCGCAUGGUUCAAUAGUGAAAGACGGUUUUGCUGUCACUUAUAGAUGGAUCCGCGCCGCAUUAGCUAGUUGGUAAGGUGACGGCUUACCAAGGCAACGAUGCGUAGCCGACCUGAGAGGGUGAUCGGCCACACUGGAACUGAGACACGGUCCAGACUCCUACGGGAGGCAGCAGUAGGGAAUCUUCCGCAAUGGGCGAAGGCCUGACGGAGCAACGCCGCGUGAGUGAUGAAGGUCUUCGGAUCGUAAAACUCUGUUAUUAGGGAAGAACAAAUGUGUAAGUAACUAUGCACGUCUUGACGGUACCUAAUCAGAAAGCCACGGCUAACUACGUG
This 497-nucleotide ribosomal RNA is filed under the name uncultured bacterium. Its description in RNAcentral is "partial 16S ribosomal RNA". It matches the Rfam family "Bacterial small subunit ribosomal RNA", at positions 28 to 507 of the family's 1533-position model. The record is from RNAcentral.